UCAGUUGGUAGAGCGGAGGACUGUAGU
Molecule: non-coding RNA, 27 nt
Filed under: Cricetulus griseus (Chinese hamster)
Lineage: Eukaryota; Metazoa; Chordata; Mammalia; Rodentia; Cricetidae
Source: RNAcentral